RNAcentral lists this ribosomal RNA (468 nucleotides) under uncultured bacterium. Its description in RNAcentral is "partial 16S ribosomal RNA". It matches the Rfam family "Bacterial small subunit ribosomal RNA", at positions 28 to 507 of the family's 1533-position model. The record is from RNAcentral.
GACGAACGCUGGCGGCGAGCUUAACACAUGCAAGUCGAACGGAAAGGCCCUGCUUUUGUGGGGUGCUCGAGUGGCGAACGGGUGAGUAACACGUGAGUAACCUGCCCUUGACUUUGGGAUAACUUCAGGAAACUGGGGCUAAUACCGGAUAGGAGCUCCUGCUGCAUGGUGGGGGUUGGAAAGUUUCGGCGGUUGGGGAUGGACUCGCGGCUUAUCAGCUUGUUGGUGGGGUAGUGGCUUACCAAGGCUUUGACGGGUAGCCGGCCUGAGAGGGUGACCGGCCACAUUGGGACUGAGAUACGGACCAGACGCCUACGGGAGGCAGCAGUGGGGAAUAUUGCACAAUGGGCGGAAGCCUGAUGCAGCAACGCCGCGUGCGGGAUGACGGCCUGCGGGGUGUAAACCGCUUUCGCCUGUGACGAAGCGUGAGUGACGGUAAUGGGUAAAGAAGCACCGGCUAACUACGUG